UACAGAGGGUGCGAGCGUUACUCGGAAUUACUGGGCGUAAAGCGUGCGCAGGCGGUUGUGCAAGACCGAUGUGAAAUCCCCGGGCUUAACCUGGGAAUGGCAUUGGUGACUGCACGGCUAGAGUGUGUCAGAGGGGGGUAGAAUUCCACGUGUAGCAGUGAAAUGCGUAGAGAUGUGGAGGAAUACCGAUGGCGAAGGCAGCCCCCUGGGAUAACACUGACGCUCAUGCACGAAAGCGUGGGGAGCAAACAGG
Molecule: ribosomal RNA, 253 nt
Filed under: uncultured bacterium
Lineage: Bacteria
Description: partial 16S ribosomal RNA
Rfam family: Bacterial small subunit ribosomal RNA
Source: RNAcentral